Molecule: long non-coding RNA, 16367 nt
Filed under: Equus caballus (horse)
Lineage: Eukaryota; Metazoa; Chordata; Mammalia; Perissodactyla; Equidae
Description: lncRNA (ENSECAG00000052834.1)
Source: RNAcentral
AGUCUGUGUUAAUCAUGCAGAGUCAACAAACAUUCAUGGAGAGCUGACUGUGUGUGAGGCCGGGCGGCUCCCUGGGUUAUUUCCUUUGAGAACCAGACACUAAGCACUCUGAGAGCAGGGCCCCGACGGUUGGCUCCUGAGCAGCCUCAGCUCCUAGCGGAGCGCCUGGCAGACAGUGGGUGGCGCUCAGAGCAUGGAUGAAUGAAUGAGAGCUUCGAGGUAAACAUUCCUGCUCGCCCUGCACAGAAGUGAGGGACAGAGAAGGGACUUGAGGAGUAGACUGGCCUGGCUUGCUCAUGGUUGCCCAGCUAGGGCAUGGUGGAGACAGGCCUUCUUGCCUCCAAGCCCCCUGCUUCCCCUCUCUACAGGCCUCUGUCAGCAGCCUGUAGGAACGAAGGGGCUGGGGCAGCGUGGCUGCAGGAAGCUGCCCCUCUCCCUGGGAGUGGCUCCAGCGAAGAAGACCCGAGGCACGUGUGCGCCCGGGGAGCCAAUUCAAAGUGCACCAGGAGGCUCCCGGAUCUCCAGGCCUCUUCCCAGAAUAUUUCAACCCAAGAGAGCGCAUCCCAGGCUAGAGCUGCCUCCUGGGGGGAUGCAGCCAGCUGGCGGGCCCAGAGCCGCCAGGGCUUGCUUUCCCCUGAAGCACCUUCCAGGUGCCCAGGUCUUGGGGGCACUUAGGAGAGCAGGGAGGGUGUGUCUUGAAGGCCGGGAUCUUGAGAGGAGGAUCAAUCAAGCAGGCAUGGAGCUUCUUCCCGCCAACAGUUUUCCACACCGGGAGGCUCCGGUCCAGCGGUUGGCCGCCCAGCUGCCUGGCCCAGCAGUCUGUUUGUGCGAAGCUCUGCAGAGCAGUCCCGAGGGGAGAGAACGUGAUGACUAAUGGAGGCAAGUCCCAGCAGACGGGUGGGCGGGCCUGGCACGGUUUGGGCUUCUUGCUGACACAACACAGGCUCACAGCUCGGGCUGGCGGCGGCCCCUGGGAGGAGGGAGGCGCGGGCUCCUUGUAGGUGGGCACCUUUGUGGUUUCUCUCCACUCACUCAGAAGGGGUGCCAUCUGGUCAAGGGCUGAGCAGGCAGGCACCUGGAGGUCUGCAGCAGCACAGGGCCUGGCAGAGGACAGAGGCCAUAGGCCCAUCGACCGGGGUGGUGAUGGCGGUAAAAUUCUCACUGUCACUCCUGAGCUGUUUGACGUGAAGCCUGAAUCCCUCUGAGCUGCAGCUUUCUCACUCACGUUGGGGGUAUAACAAUAUCCUUGACUCCGCAGGGACACUGAAGAUCGAAUAACCUGACAAACCGAAAAUUGUUGUGUGACCAUGAGGGGUUUUGUGCUUUUACCCAAGAGCUGGGCAGGCGGCGUGCAGGCCAGGGGUAUUGAUCGCUUUGAGUAUGGUCAACCUCAGCGCCGUCUCAGGCUUAGAACAUGUCUUCUGUCCUCUCCAGAGUCUUUCCUUGUUACUACUUUGUUUGUCCUUGUGACAUGUGCCUGGCACCCUCAUCUCUGUGGCUGCACCUGUCCCCAGCUCUGUGCCACCCUGGACUCUGGCCAUUGCCCACCUGCCACAUUGGUUCCUGGCAUGUGCCUUCAAACAGGACACUGACCUCAGCAGAGGCUCUGCUUUCUCUUCCCUCUAUCAAGGACGUUAAUAAUGCUGUUGGCUUUAGAGGGUGUGAGUGAGAUACUAUAUGAGAAAGUGCUGGAAAGCUGUAUAAAUAAGCUUUUCUUAUUGCCGUUGACAACCACUCUUCCUCAAGCUGGGGUGGUAUUGGCAGUGUGACCGCUUCUUCAAGCCACACUCCAGGCUGUGUGAGUGCUUUUCUUUUCCUCACCUGUCCUUUCCCUUGGCCCUGAGUGAGUCCAGGGCCACAGCAUGGUGACCUCAUUGCUUCAUAAUGCAGAGUUGGGCAUGAGGUGGGGGUCCCCCCCUUCCGAGGCCCUCCCAUUCCCCUGGAUUAUCUUGUAACGCAGCCUCUGAAUGCACCCAGGAGCCCACCACACUCAGCUGGGUGCAGGCGAGCGAACUUCCAAAAGAGGCUGGGAUGAUAGACGCUUCCCAAAGAAAGUAAGCCAAACCAGGGGCUGCCCUCCUCCUGUGACCUCCCCCUGCCCCACGGAACAGGUUUUAUGGAGCGUUGACUUUCUUCCUAAAGGUUCCUGAGAUGUUGGCCACCCUGACACUAAGGAAGAAAUUCUUUAAAAGGAAAAAAAUGAGGCAGAUUUUUGUAUGACAAAGUCAGGAGUCUCAGUUAAGGACCUGUGUCUUGGAAACAGCAUGCACCUCUUGCAGGAGAUUUUAGAAGGUGGUGAGCUGCUCAGUGCUACAACUGCAGCAGCCAUGUCUGUGGGUGAAGGCGGGAAGUGUCAGCUGUGCAGGAAUUGAGUGCCGGAGUGUUUGUGCCGGAAUGAGGACUGUGGAAUCACACGGUCGUUUCCAAGUGGAACUGGGCGGGGUUACGAGAUUUUGUAUUGAUUAUUGGGCCUUCCUCUUGUGCCACACUGAGUCUGAGACCUUUAAUCUAGAACCCACUAGCCCCAUGUAGCUAUUUAAAUUUAAAUAAAUUGAAACAAAAUAAAUUUAAAAAGUCAGUUCCUCAGGCCCACUAGCCGUAUUUCAAGCGCCCAAUAGCCACAUCUGGCCAGUGGCUACUGUGCUGAAGAGCACGGAUGUGGAGCAUUUCUAUCAUCACACGAAGUUCUUUUGGACAGCGCUGCUCUGAUCUGCCCCAAACAUUCUUGUGUUUGGGGGUGGGAGGCCACAGAGGAAAUGAGAAAAGUUAUUUAAGAAAUGUGAAGAGGAAGAACAACUUAAUUUUCAGCUGUUGACAUUCAUAGUCUGAUCCUUCAACAAUAAAAUAGCUGCGCAAGACAGGCUAUUGUCUCGAAAAACAAAUCUCCACAUCUCUUGACCUCCCCCUCUAACAUUUCAGCAACUGAGCCUGGACAAUUCUGCUCAAAGAUUUCUCCACAGCAUGGAGGAGAGCCAGGCGUAGCAAGUCGGGGGCAAAGAGGGCGUGAGGUGGCAGAAGAAAAGUACCAGACACAGGAUGUAUUUUCUGAAGUGUAGGCAGAGUAUGUGUUCUUCGUGAAGAAUACAGGCAGGAGAAGAAAAGGACUGAGGACUGGGAAGCAGCUGGACCCAUGUCUGCUGAAUUGUCCUUUCAAGGCCCGACUGGUGAGAGGCCGGGGUGUUCAGCAGGAUGAAGCCCCCGUUAAAAGCAGAGUUUGCCCCCCAUCGGCUUGGUGCAAAGCCACCUUAAGUUCAACCUGCCACACAGGGUGGCCUUGGGAGGCCCUGUGGGCUUGCCUUUGGUCACCUUGUGGUGUAGACACUGAGCUGGCAGCCAGGGAGCCUGCCAUGGUAUUGGCCUCCAUGUAGAGGCUGGCAUUGGACUUCCAGGGCACUGCACUAGAUGGGGGAUGGGUAAAGACUCAAUGUCUGUUGCUGGUGGUGGACAAGACAAAGCCAACACAGCCUGAGGUAGAUCCUUGAUUCUGAUCAAGAUAAAGAAGAUCAGCCAUGGAAAGAUCCACAGGCAGACUUCUCCUGGGUAGACGAAGAAUAGUAUCCAGACUAGGGAAGGUUGAAAAUAUCAAACCCAAGGUCUCUGAUCCAUUCUUGCUGACAUAGGAUGAGCAACCCCCUUCCUCUCAUGCACCCAGAGACCCUCUGAUGGAAAGAAGCAGGAGGCAGGGAAGCCCUGUCUUAGUAACUGAAAAAUUUUACGCCAAUGAGUGUGUGUAUUUCCUGAAAAAGCUGUUUGCUUGAUUAGAUCAGGGUAAGUUUAAACUGGACUUCAUUAGGAUUUGCUUGUUAACCAGUGAGUGGAGACUCCGCAGGGGAAAGCUCAGAUUAGCUAUUGGCAAACUGAAGCAUCACAUUUUCUCUGUUCAUCUGGGUUGUGGUGGGAGUUGAAUCUAGAGACCUCACUAUGUAAGCAAAGAUGAGAAUCAACACCCCACAGAAGACAAGAGCAAUGCGACAAGAGCAAUGUGAGACCCAGAGAGAAGGCCCUGACUAAGUGGCCACAGGGACUUCAGCCACACAGAUUCAGAUGAUCUCCUUUGUCAUGGUGAGAAGGAGGUGGAGCUUGCUCUCAGAACCUACUGGAUAAGUCAUCAUACACGUCCUUCAUGGUUAGUUAUAUCAUGGCAUAUCAGUUGAGAUACUGCAAGUGAUGCAAAACCCAACUCAAAUCAUCAACAAAGGGAGUUUACUGCUUCCUGUAACGAAGUCCAGUUACUGCCCCAGCUUCAGCUAUGGCUAGAUGCGGGGCUCAAAUGAUGCCAUCAACUCUCAGCCUAAACUCUUCUCUCGGCUCUGCUAUUCUUUGUCUUGGCUUCAUUGACAAGUAAUUCUAUGGUGGCAAUAUGGCUGCCAACAGCUCCACAAACCCAACAGGAAGAGCUCAUGCCCUUCUCCCCAAAGUCCCAUAAACUGUCUCAUUGCUUUUCAUCGGCGCUGACUGCGUCUGAUAUCCAUCUUUCAUCCAAUUGCUGUGGCUGGGAGAAUUCAGUGCUCUAAUCGGCUAGGUUCAGUUCACAUGUCUGCCUGGAGGCAGGGGUGGAGUUAACUCCACCUGCAACACAUGGACAGAUGGGGGAAGGAGAAAGGAUGCCGAGCACUCCAAAAAGCUGUGGAGUAGACUGUAUUUGGUAAUUAUUAUACAGGACAGUGGAUUUAAUCAUUCUCAAAACAUUGUUUUGUUAUCGUCAAAAGAACUUAAGCUUUAGGUUAUGGUAGUAGCUAUCUACCAGAAGCCACUUGACUUAUUUCAGUAUCGCGCUCAAGAUUCUGAUGCUCGGCGUGGAUGGAAGGGCGUGCUCUCUCAGAAUGUGUCAGGGCACACUGCAUGUUAGGAAGGCAUGCUUUGCAGCGCCCGUUCUCCUGAGUCCAUGGAAAAUGUUGUGGCCACAGGGGUCAUUAAUGUCUAACCUGUUUUAUUCUGGUUGCAGUUCUGAAGCCCAGACCAUUGGGAUCCCCUGGAAUUUGCCCUUGGGUCACAGCAAACUUUAAGAUAUUGUUGAGGAGGUUGUGCGUAUUUGCAUGAACAUCAAGGUGAAAUAUUUUUAGUGUUUUUCGUAUGGUUGCCAUUUGUUUUUCUUUCUCUUUCUUUUCAUUUACUGCGAUUGAUUCAAACCCCUUAAGCCUGAAGAGAACGUACGACCAAGGAGACCCUAAAACUGCGGGGAAUGCAACAGUGGAGACCUUGGUCAAAGGAUGUCCGACAACAGUCAAAGUCUCAUUAUGACGUUCCCCUGGACUUCAUUUGUAGGGACGGAUUGAAUAUCGUCCCCCCAAAUUCGUGUCUACCUGAAUCCUUAGAAUGAGAUUUUACUGGGAUAUAGAAUUUUUGCAGAUAUCAUCAGUUUAGAUGAGGCCAUACUGUCCUUGUAAGAGGAGGAGAGGUCACAGAGAGACACUCACAGGGAAGAAGGCCGUAAAGACAGAGGCAGAGAGGGAAACUACCAGCAAUCUUGGCAGCCACGAGCCAGGGAAUGCCGAGGGCUGCUGGGAGCCACCAGAAGCGGGCAGAGAGGAGGACGGAUUCCUCCCUGAGCCUGCAGAGGGAACACAGCCCUGUUGACCCUUGAUCUCAGACUUGUAGCCUCCAGCACAGUGAGGGAACAAAUUCCUGUUGUUCUACGCCCCUCAGUUUGUGGUGCUGUGUUACAGCAGCCACAGGGAACCAAUACAGGGGCUUUUCAAGAAACCUAAGGCCUGGAGCAAAACACAAGUCAGACAACAGAAACGCUGACAUGGGGUCCCCUUGCAGGCCCCUGGACAGGGCCUGUUUGAAGGAUUUCCACUUCGAGACAAAGGUGGCCUGUGCACGCCAGAUUCUUGUAUUAAGGCUGUCACGAUUGACUGCAGUUUGCAGACCCAAGGGCGGGAGAAGGGCCUGGAGUCUUGUCUGUCCUCUAUCAUCAAAGUCCCAGGUGCUGGUGCGAGGCCACAUUGCCCUGGGUUUCCUUUUCUUUACUGCUCUGUCUGUUCCUCAAGCUGUGUGCUGCGGGGCUGAGGCUGCCCAGAGGGGAUGUCACUAACUAAUCCACACGAAGGCACCAUAGAGACUAGCAGUGCCCCUAAUCUGGCUAUAGACAUGCCCAACAUUGCCCACCUCAGACAGAAUUCUUCAUUCUUUCCAUAAGUACACACACACAUGCACAUGCACACAUUUCCAACAUUUGGUCAGUCCUUGUUAUUUGCCGAUUCUGUGUUUGGGAAUUCGUCUAUUCGCUAAAAUUUAUAUGUAACCCCCAAAUCAGUACUCACCGUGCUUUUUGGUCAUUCGUGGACAUGCAGCAAACAUUUGGGUCUUCCGAUGUGCACGUUCCCAGCUGAGGUCAAGCAAGGUGACCCUCUGCCUUCUUGUUUCAUACUGUAAACAAAUGUCUCUUUUGCGAUCUAUGUAGUGCCACCUUUUUCUGCUUUUUUUUGGUGAUUUUGCUGUUUAAAAUGGGCCCCAAGUGUAGGGCAGAAGUGCUGUCCGGUGUUCCUAAGCAUAGGAAGGCUGUGGCGUGUCUUCCCGAGAAGAUACAUGUUAGACAAGCUUCAUUCAGGGGUGAUUUAUCGUGCUGUUGGCCGUGAGUUAUGUUAAUGAAGCAACAAUAAAUAUUUGAAAAGGUACCUUUAAACUGAAACAGACAUAAAAUGAGGUUAUGCAUUAAUCAGUUGAUGAAACCAGAGGCUCAGAGGAAUCUGACCCUUAUUCGCCCAGAGCAACAGUUCAGUGUUCACUAAUUCAGUGUUCGCUGAGACUUUCCGGAACAUAACCACUGCGAAUAACACAGUCGACCGUGUGUCUUUCCUCUAGGCCCUGUGAGGUGAAUGGCGAUGAGUCGGUGAGCAUCGCUGCCCACAAGCACCCGUCUCUGUUAACAAAGUGAAGAAAGCCCCAGCGUCCUGGAGCCCUAGGAAGUUCUAGGUGCAUGUCUGUGGAGCCCUGGUUUCUUUAUAUGAAAAUGUCUAAGUGAUGGGGUCAUCAUGGAAGUCAAAUAACAAUUCACGGGAAAGAACUGCAUGAAUUUACAAGGGGCCAGGCAAAGGGUGGUAGUUGUAAUCAUUAAGCCAUCCUAGUGUUACCCCAGGCUCCUCCCCACCACGCUCUCCACUAGCCCAGUGUUCCAGUCCAGCUAGCCCGCCAGAUGUUCCAGAUGUUCCUCUCUGCCUUGGCUCUGGCUCUUCUCCUUCUCUGUGUGUCCAAAUGCUGCCUUUCCCUCAAGACUCAAUUCAAAUUUUAUUGCUCUUAUGGAACCUUCUUUUGAUUCCUCCAGCAGGAUGAAACCUCUCUGUCCUAUGAACUUCAUAUACAUUGUCUGCACACAUUUGAUGUCAUUUGCCACGUUGUGCCUUAUGUGGCAGCCGUUUGUGCGAAAGUUUUGUAUUCUGUAUGUGCAGGGUCCUUGAGGACCAGGACCGUGUCUUACGGAUGCCUCUCUCCCACGCUUUUCUUAGCAGUGGCUUCCACACAGCAUGUGCACAACACCUUGUUGACUGUGGUACGCAUAUUCCAUGCUGAUCAACCAGCCAGCCUUCUUGACAUGUGCUCUAACUUUCGAGGUUUCUUUGAAAAGUAUGACUGUCUCGGGACACUCAAUUCUGCACAAGUGGUCUGAUUCGAGUGUUUUAGGAGGGCUAGUGACAACCUCCACAUGCAGUUUGGGACCAGGAUGGGCUGAAGACAAUUGUAGGACAGUAGCUGUCAUGGAUUUGGGCUAAGAAGGGUCAGAAUCAGUGCAGUGGAAAACACCAAGGAAGAACUUAAUGGGACAAUCCUUCCAAUAAAGACAUUGCCCAAAAAUGAACUAUAGGUGUUAACUCUAGGUGUUAUAGAUAACAUCAUCCCCUUCUACCCACUGCCACCCAUAUUUGUUUUCCUUCUGAGGGAAUUUAUGGAGGAGGAACCAAUCCCUUUUACCCUCCCCCAAAAUGGAGCGUGGAUAGGUAUUAGAGGAUAUGUUUGCUCUCAGCCCUGUGGAGUUGGUUUGAUCUUUACAGACAGGGGGCUGGAGGUUGGCACUAGCUGCUGAUAGAAGUAUUUGAGAGACUACGAGAGUGUUCUGACAGAGCCGCUUCAGGGCCAGGGAGACCAAAGGCAGCCCCAAGCAGGGCUGCUGGCUCUUCUCCUGCCUUGCCAGGAGCCAGGUUUCUAGGGAAUGGAAAUGGUGGGAGCACCUGGAGUUGCCCUGGCAGAGGCAAUGGGCUGGGGUGAGGUGAGGCUACUCCAACAGGCCUUCUUGGGGGUAGUAUGGGCAGGUGGGAGGCUGAGUGGGAGCAGAAGGAUGAGGCAGAGGUUGCACAGAUGCAGACUGGUUUUGAGGGCACCUGAGAAGCAACCUUCUAGAACUCCCAGAAAUGACACGGGCACUUUAGGGUACUGAGUCCUUGCUACUGCUUGGGGUGGGGGUAACUGUGGAGCUGGCAAAUGUUUGGGUGCCAUCUUACUUCCAAAAGGGACUUGGUGAGGCUCAGGGGCACAAUAGAAGCAUAACUUAUUGCCAACGAUGGGGCACUUGAUUAGAAUGUUUUAUUUAUUCUGAUGAUCAAAAUUCAAAUGGUACAAAAUGGUGCACAGUGAAAAAUUGCAUCCAAUUUCUCUUUCCCAGAUGUUUAGUUUUCCUCCAUAGAGGCAAUCGAUGUUACAUUUCUUGUCUAUCUUUAGAGAUAUUCUAUGCAUAUGAAAGUAUACGCCUAUAUUCUCUCCACCAUUUUGUUGGUACAGAUGACAACAAUGUAUGUUACAUAUUGUCCUGCACUUUGCUUUUUUCACUUAACAUUAUAUCCUUAAUAGCAUGGUUUCCCUAAGAACUACCCCUCCCCCUCCUUUUUAAUAGCUGCGUAAUAUUCCAUUAUAUGGACAUACUGUAAUCUACUUAAGCAAUGUUCCCUAUUGAUGAACAUCUAGGUGUUUUCUCCUAAUUCUUUGCUAUUAUAAAUAGUGCUACAAUGAAUAAUCAUGUGUGUGUAUAUACAUAUAUAUAUAUAUAAUCUCACAUAUAUAUGAGAAUACAUGUGUUCGACAAUUUCUUGCAAAUAGAGUUGGUAGGUCAAAGAUGUGUACAGUUGUAAUUUCUAUGAACAUUACCAAAUUACACUUUAGAGAGGUUGUACCAAUUUAGACUCCUUCCGUCAGCUUAUGAGCUUGCCUAUUUCCCUACACCCUUGCUCACAAAGUUGCCAACAAGGUAUGUUACCAAAAUUUUUGAUCUGUGCCUAUCUGAAAGGCAAAAAAUGGUAGAGAAUAUAGUUUUAAGUUGUUUUUCUCUUAUUAUGAAUGAGGUUGAGCACACUUUCCUAUAUUUAAGAUCCAUCUUUAUUUCCUUUCCUAUCAACUACCUAUUCAUAUCCUUUGCCCAUUUUUCUGUUGGUGUUUGGUCUCUUAAUUUUGCAAUACUUUUUGUAUAUUAGAGAAACUUGAGUUGCAAACUUUUUUUAUCAAUUUAUGCUUUGUAAUAGAUCACUUUAAAUAACUUAGUAAAUCGUAGUAUUGACCUAGUUUAGCUACUCCAUUUACUUGAAAAGUAUACAAUUACUUUCCUGAAAAAGAAUAUUGCACAAAUUAAAUAUUCAUGAUUGUGGAGACUUCCCUAUUCAGAUAUAGAACAUCCUGAUAAAUAGUGAUUGAAAUAGUCAAGAAACACUUACACAACACCUCUGUUUCACACUGUGAGAAACACGAACACGUAGGUUUCAAAAUCCAUGAUUGAGUAAGUCAGCAGUGAUGGGCCAGUGAGAUGACAGGAACUGGGGACAGAGGAGUGGGCAAGGCGUGUUUGGGCAGAGCCAGGAAAGGGUGGGAAUCCCUUUUGCUGCCUGGAGCAGAACCCUGCGUGAAGCAGGUGAGUAUUCAGGAGUCCUCGGGAGGACAGGAGCAGUGUGGUGAUCUAAAGUCAUGAGACAAGGCCUUAGAGAGGGCAAGUCGGCAGCAGAUGUGCCCAGCGCUGACGAAGGAAUCAAGGCCCCCUGCCUGGAAAGACCAGCUUUCUCACGAGCAAACUUCCUUUGCCUCUUCUGAAUCUGGGGCCAUAAAAAAAAUCUGUGACCUCUUCCCCUGAUAUCCCCAGUCCAAACCAUUGCCCAGAGCCCCCAGACUAGACUCCUAGAAGCCCCAAACCAGUGAUGAAGGUGUAAUUCUAAGCCAGGCUGGAGGUAGGCGGUACAACUUCAGGCCGCUCCGCCUCCCUCUUCAGUUCCUGCCUUGGGCCCCAUUCCGCUGUUACAAAAGCUAAGGAAAAGCAAAGAAGAAACAAAUGGAUUUGUUUUUCUCUAAAGAAUAAGAGUAGCUGGCAGAGCUCAGGCCUUCUAGGCAUGGUGGGACGAGACACCGACAGAGGUUAAGGAGGCCAAUGCCAAACACAGACUAAGACGUGUUAUCUACAGCAGCAGCAGUCAACCAACAAUUUUUGAUAGCUAUUAUAGUUGUAGCUCAGUAAACCCUUUUUUGUUGAUUAGGUUGGUUCGCUCAUUUGGCCCAUUUGUAUGCUAGCCCUGCAAAAUUUCUCUGGUUAGACUUAAAAUGUUGGAAAUCUGCUUUUUGUAAGAUCUAGGAAUGCAUCCUUCCCAAUUCCUUACUUUCUGUCCGUCCUAUGCUUUUUGGCUAAGUUUCACAAAUUUGGAUAUAAAUACAGAUCAAAUUUCAGCUUAGAUGCACAGAGGAUUGGACUAGCCAAAGCCAUCUUCAAGUGCGGUCAUCAAUAAACAAGUCGUUUCUGUAACAAUAUGAGAACGGCCAACUGAUUGCCUAUUUGUGCCAGCCACUGUGCAUACCUUCUCUCUAAGCUUCCCAACUGUCCAAGGCAGGUAUGACACUCUCUGUUUCACAGAAUGAAGCAACCUGAAUUUAGAAAGAUUAAGUAAUUAUCCAAGAUUAUACAGCUAGUAAGUGACGGAGCUGGGAUUUGAACCCAGUUCUGUAAACCCAAAGCCUGAACUACUACCCUGUGCUACAUUCUCCACUACCAAGUUUCCGUUCUAAACCACCAGAUUUAGGGCUCUGUAGCACCUCAGCUUUGUUUCAGUUUUCUAAACCCAAAAUGCUAGGUCUUGAUCUAAAUGAUAAACAUUGUUCUCAAGAUACUGGUGACCCCACAAAGGAUAAUAAUUACAUGUUCAGUGCAAUUGAAGAGCAAUUACAUACAUACACACACACACACACACACACACACACACACACACACACAUCUACAAUGAAUUGCUGAACCACAGGUUGUAGAUGACAGAGGCGUUAGUAGCUUAGAGACACAUUUGAUACCAUGAACUGAAAUCACUGGGGAAGGCUUUCUUCAAGAAAAUAGGUUCUGUUUUGGACCACAACAGGCGAUUAGGAUUUUGAGAGGCUGAAAAGAAAGAAGAGGCUAGCUUUGGCUUCUGGCAGUGUGGUAGAUUGGGUGUCCUAGAAAAACUCCCCAUACAAUAUAGCUAAACUUGCUGGAUACAAAAUCCCUUUGAAAUAGAUCACGGAGCGUGUGAAAGGGUGAGAGUAAUUCCUAGGGGCUAAAAACCGAGAGUUGCUGGUGUUUUGGUAGUCCUGGCUGUCUAGAGCAGGGAUUAGCAAACAUUUUCUGUAAAGGGCCAGAUAGUAAAUAUUUUUGGCUUUAUGAGCCCAUAUGAUCUCUGUUGCAACUACUCACCUCUGCCUUUGUAGUGUGAACACAGCCACAGACAAUACAUAAACAAAGGGAUGUAGGAGGAUUUGACUGGCAGUAAGCUGGAAUCGGGCUGGGGUCCAUACUUUGCCAAUCUCUAAUCUAGAGUGUUGGAGUUUAAUGCCUUUUGUGGAUCUUCUGAUCUUGGGCCCACACAAGGUGAGAAGAUAGAACUGAGACAACCCUCACACAUAUAAACAGGAUCCCUGGAAAGUGUGGACUAGGAGAAUGUGGUCCCUGGCAAAGAAAAACAGACGAGGAAACUUGUCUUAUCAGGCUGGGCUCUGUGUGAAAAAAGAAAAGUAUCUCUGUGUGAAUUUGUUACUAGAGGUAGGCCUACUCAUACGGGAUUGGGGUUUAAAUUUAUACUACCUGCAAAGUACAGGAAACUUAGAGCUACAAAUUUAACUGAAAAUGGUUCUUGAUUGGUAGUGCCUUAGCACCUUACCAAACAUGAGUCCAUAAUCCAAAAUUACAAACCACACCAGGAAACAAGCCACUGUGAGCAAGUGUCAACAGACACGACAAAUGGAGGAAGGAUUCUCUCAAGGAUUUGAUGUAUUACAAUUCUUACUUAUGGGAAAUGUUAAAAGAAAUAAAAAGAGAGAUGAAAAAGAAUAGAGGCUAUUUCAGGCAAGGGGGAGAACAGAGGCAAAGAUUCAGUGGUGGGGAUGAGAAUGUGUUGAGGGGCAAGGAGGAAACAGUCCUAGGUAGGGUUCAUAUGAGGGUGCUAACGAAUGAAUGAAUUAAACGUUGAUUAAACUCGUAGUGCUCAACCAGCACCAUGCCGGGCAUAGUAGUGGAGAUGAAUAAGAGACACAGGCUCUGCUCUCAAGGAGAUUCCAGUCUAGGAGAAUCAGGUAAAGAAAUAAACCCCGCAAAACGUGAUGGAUACUUUAAUUAAAGAAGGUAUAAAAUAUAGCAGAGGCGAAGGAGGAGUGGCCCAUUCUACCCAAGGAAGUCAAGGCAGUUCCUGGAGGAUCUUAUGCUUGAGCCAAGCUUAAAGGAUCUGUGGAGUCUGCACUUUAUCCUGUAAGUGAUGGGGAACUACUGCAUGGUUUAAGGAGGGAUGUAAAGUGAUCGGAUUUAGAAUUUAAAAAAAUUAUUAAAGCUGCAGUACACUGAAUAGGACAGAGAGUGAAGAAGUGAGAGACAGGAAGACCAAAUGUGACAUUGUUUGGAGAGUCAUGAAAAGAUAAAGCAGAAGUGUAGGUGGAUUUGAGAGAGAGUUUAGAAUUUUGCUCAUUUGGGGAGAACAAACAGUAAUGACACAAUUUUAGUGGCUGUGUCUUCACUGACGACCCCGUAGCCCCACACCACCCCUUCCCAAGUGUUUCUGGGAGUUCUGGGGGUUGUCUUAAAAGCGCUGGUGGAUGAUUCCUCCACGCCCUGCCCUGUGGUGCUUCUGCCACUGCAGGCUGUUGUGCUGUGACCUGGGCAGGGUGGGGUGCAAUGCUCUUUCUUAUCCUUUGGUGUUCAGUGUCCUGGAGGAGUGCUGUGUGUUCCCUAACGAUUAUGCAGCUUUCAUAAAAUGGUUCUUUCAGCUGUUACUUACAGACUCCCUGCUCUCCAGGAACCUCAGAGGAGGACGGUGAGAAAGAAGUCCACCUGCUAGAGCCCGUCCUCAUAGUGCCCUGGCUUCUGACAGCCCAGCUCAUUGUGCCUGGCUCUUUCUGCCCUUAGACACCCUGCAAGAGCUAAAGCAGAGUGUGAGGGAGGGGAUGGAUUUGGUUCUCCCCGCAUGUUGCUUAGCUCCCUUGCAAUGGGCUUUGCUGAGCCUUCUCUGCCUGUUUGCCAGAAAUGCCUGCCCUGGGACCCAAGUGGGCCAUCCAUACAAUAUGGGACCUAGAGCUCUGAGUCACCAAUAAGAUAUGGAGUGAGGGUAGAGAGGAGGCUGGAAAGAUUUUCAGGACUAAUGGAAAGAUUUUUGGAAAGACUAGUCAAAGUGUUCAAUGCCUGUCUAAUGAAUCUAUUUCCGCCAUAAGUUAGUGUUUCUCCAAGAGUGGGCUGCUUCGUGUCAGCCUCUGAAUUACUUGGGGAGCUGGCUCGAAGUUUCCGUUCUGGCCUAUCUGAAUCGGACGCCCCGGGAAGUGGAGCUGGGGGUCCUCGCACUUUUAACCAGCGCUGCCUUGGGAUAGUUUGAGAAGCCACACACGUUUGUGUGAUUGGGUCCGUAUGUCGUCUCUUUAGGUAAGUUGAAGGCUCCUGAGUGUAGGUGCUGUGUCUAAAGCUUUUCUUGCUUCUCCGCAAGCACAGGCACAUGGUUAGUAUACAGUAUAUAUUCAGUGAAGUGGAACAAAAGGAUGAAAUACUGACAGCAGAAUUACUGCGUUUAUAAACUGCCCCCUCCAACAACAUGGCAUUUGACACUCAUUCAUUUCUUUAAUACUCUUUUAUUCUGCAAAUGUUUAUUAGUGCCAUUUCUAGGCCGUGCACUGUGCUGGGUGCUGAGUCCCAAGAGAAUUAAAGUGACAGAGAGGCGGGGGCCCUGGAGAAGGGAGAAGUGGGUAUGCAUUGAUGGGUGAGAAUUUUCAGAAAAAAGAGCUGCCCCCAGAACAGAGAAAGUGACAAUUUCUUAGGCUUUCCUUGGGUUGAGUUAUAAUUUCUGCAUUGUUCUGUAUUUCCAAAUGAAGAAAGACACCUCAAUUCCUUCUAAUUCCCCAGCUUCAGGGCAUGGCGGGCAGAUUGAAGACUCUUGGAGGCAGGAGAUAAAGGGAAGCGUCAUGUUCCCUUGGUCCUGUUUGAUCUUUAUACCAUCAACACUGGGCUCUGAGCUUCCCUGUUCCCUUCCCCUCCUUCAAGGUCACCCAGAAGGGCGUAGGCUCUUUGAUGUUCAAAGAAAGUUUGAACAACAUGCCUGGUCCUUUGUGGCUGAGUGUGCUGCUGGCAGACAUUUCUGACUCAAGUCGGGGCAGACUCAAUUCCUCAUCUCUUUCUGAGGCAGAUCCCAAAGCUGUUAGGAGGAGGAUGAGCAUGUUUUUUUAACAAUAAAAUUCCUUUUUUCUGGGUCUCAAAUGGAGUUUGACCCUUACUCAUCUCCCUUCUCUCAAGCUUAUUCCUGAGCAGAAAAUCCUCUCCUUAAUUUCGGCUCUGUCAGAGUAGCAAGGAACGCUCAGGGACCAGCAGACCUCCAAGAAUAGCGAUGCAUUCAGGCAAAACUCACAAGGCCACGCUGAGCAUGUACCUCUGAAGCAAACAACUUCAGGAACCUCUAAGGAACAGAUGCUCACAACCCCAGAAGGAAACAAAAAGCAUAACUUUUCCAUUAGUUAAAUCUUUUAACACUGUUUUGAGGCUGUCUCUGUGUUGUGGGAAAAAGUCAGGGGUCUGCACUUCAGCUGUUGUGAACAGAGGUCUUCCUUUGGGUGCCAGGGAGGCCUCAGGGCGCGGAUGGCUUAGGAGAGGUGGCGCAGCUGCUCCCCGGCCAGGUUACAGCAGGAGCAGGAGACAGCUUUGCGAUUUCUCAACACUGAGAGAAGCAUGACAUGAGGGAAGGAGGGUGUGUGUGUUAUUUUGCCUCCUUUGGUCACUCAGUGACUUCACGGAAUGAGGAUUUAGAAAAAGGAUACGUGAUCAUGUCCCAGUGUCCCCGGAUAGAACUGUAUAGCUGCCCUCAAAGACCCGGGAGCAAAAUUCGAGAACAGGGAAGAUGCAGCUCCAGUCACUAUGUUAUCUACCUCCACCCUCUCCUCCCCAGCCUUGGCAUUUAUUGGCCCCUAUAAUUAUGGUGACUCAGAAUGUCUAGUUGCUGCCUCUCGCCCUCAGGUGUUAUGUAUAUUUAUUCUGUUGACUCAGAGCUUUGGCUUACACAUUGAUACUGCUUACUCUUGGGCCCUCAUGACCUGUCUUCUUUCUAUGUCUUCUUUCUGUGUGUUUUUUAAAUGCCUCCUCUUCCCCCCCCCCGGCAAAAAAAAAACCCAAUUAGCUAUUGACUCUCUUUCCUUGUAUCUCUUGUUAAAAUUCAAGAGACAGAGAAUUUGAUUGGCUCGAGUGAAUCAUCAAUAUCCUUUGUGGGCAAUGCUCUUCAGUCCAAGACACUUCAUGGGUCGCUGUUCAACCUAUAGACUGGCCAACCUGGCCAACCUAGAGGCAGGAUUCACCCCUACCCAACCAGCUUGACCAGAGGUCCCGAUGACCUGUUCACAGCAGAGCAACAGAUACAAGAAAGCAUCUGAGGUGGGGCUGGCCCUGUGGCCGAGUGGCUAAGUUCGCGCACUCCGCUGCAGGCGGCUCAGUGUUUCGUCGGUUCGAAUCCUGGGUGCGACAUGGCACUGCUCAUCAAGCCACGCUGAGGCAGCGUCCCACAUGCCACAACUAGAAAGACCCACAACUAAGAAUAUACAACUAUGUACCGGGGAGCUUUGGGGAGAAAAAGGAAAAAAAUAAAAUCUUAAAAAAAAAACCAAAAAAGUAUCUGAGGUGUGUCCCCCAGGUGGGUGGAGUGGGCUGAGCAGUUUCCUUAAAAGUGGAUAUAGCUGCCAUUUUGAAAAAUGGUCUGCUUAGUGCAGUGGCUUUUGGGGAAAGACAGAUCUGGGUUUGGAUUGUAGUUCCACUUAAUAGCUAUUCCUUAGGUAGGUUACUUAAUCUUUCUGAGCUCAUUUCCUUACCUAUAAAAAUGGGGAUGGGUAUACUAUACUGUAGCAAUGUGUGAAUUAGAGAGAAAUUAUUGGCAGUAUCUAGCAAAUAAUGGGUGCUCAGGUGCGCCAUAAAUAGUUUUUAUUAUGGCAAU